RNAcentral lists this ribosomal RNA (497 nucleotides) under uncultured bacterium. RNAcentral's name for it is "partial 16S ribosomal RNA". It matches the Rfam family "Bacterial small subunit ribosomal RNA", at positions 28 to 507 of the family's 1533-position model. The record is from RNAcentral.
GAUGAACGCUGGCGGCGUGCCUAAUACAUGCAAGUCGAGCGAACGGACGAGAAUCUUGCUUCUCUGAUGUUAGCGGCGGACGGGUGAGUAACACGUGGAUAACCUACCUAUAAGACUGGGAUAACUUCGGGAAACCGGAGCUAAUACCGGAUAAUAUUUUGAACCGCAUGGUUCAAAAGUGAAAGACGGUCUUGCUGUCACUUAUAGAUGGAUCCGCGCUGCAUUAGCUAGUUGGUAAGGUAACGGCUUACCAAGGCAACGAUGCAUAGCCGACCUGAGAGGGUGAUCGGCCACACUGGAACUGAGACACGGUCCAGACUCCUACGGGAGGCAGCAGUAGGGAAUCUUCCGCAAUGGUCGAAAGCCUGACGGAGCAACGCCGCGUGAGUGAUGAAGGUCUUCGGAUCGUAAAACUCUGUUCUUAGGGAAGAACAUAUGUGUAAGUAACUGUGCACAUCUUGACGGUACCUAAUCAGAAAGCCACGGCUAACUACGUG